RNAcentral lists this long non-coding RNA (403 nucleotides) under Medicago truncatula (barrel medic). Its description in RNAcentral is "long non-coding RNA (MTRU_LNC008318)". The record is from RNAcentral. Lineage: Eukaryota; Viridiplantae; Streptophyta; Magnoliopsida; Fabales; Fabaceae.
AACGUUCCAAAGGAAAUUAACAUGGGGCAGGUGGAAAAACAAGCAAGUUAAUUCGCAUUCAAGCUUCAAAUUAAAAAAUAGAAAACAAACCAAUAAUUCACUACUUCAAAUCAAACAAGUUCAUACCUUCUUUUUAGUCUUGGUCUCUUCCUCAUCUUCAUCGUCGUCUUCGUCCUCAUCCUCGUCCUCGUCUUCAUCAUCAUCCUCAGCAUCAUCGUCUUCAUCAUCAUCUUCGUCAUCCAGGUCUCCAAACUCCUCUCCCUGAGCAGCCUCUCCAGUAAACCAUGAUACAGCAUGGGGGAUGAUCUUAUCUCUUAUUGUUGACCUGAAGAAGCAUGAAAAUUCAUUUAAGGGUAUAUUCAAAAAUUACAAAUGCAAAAAACUAUCUAAGUUAUUGUGCUAU